This 518-nucleotide ribosomal RNA is filed under the name Synalpheus brooksi. RNAcentral's name for it is "partial 16S ribosomal RNA". It matches the Rfam family "Bacterial large subunit ribosomal RNA", at positions 1823 to 2608 of the family's 2925-position model. The record is from RNAcentral. Lineage: Eukaryota; Metazoa; Arthropoda; Malacostraca; Decapoda; Alpheidae.
AAACAUGUCUGUAUGAAUUGGAUAUUUAGUCUGACCUGCCCACUGAGGUUUAAAGGGCUGCGGUAAUUUGACCGUGCAAAGGUAGCAUAAUCAAUAGUCUUUUAAUUGGAGGCUUGAAUGAAAGGUUUGACGGAGGAGAAGCUGUCUUUUUAUUAGAAUUGAAUUUAACUUUUGUGUAAGAAGGCAUUAAUGAUUUAGAGGGACGAUAAGACCCUAUAAAACUUUAUAUAUUAUAUUUAUUUAAUAAAAUAGUUAAUUAAUUAUUGGUGGUUAAUUAUAUUUUGCUGGGGUGGCAGGAAUAUAAUUCUAACUGUUUUAAAUGUAAAAUAUUUAUUAAUAGAGAGUGGUCCUUUGGUUGAGAGUUGAGAGUAAGUUACUUUAGGGAUAACAGCAUAAUUUCUUUUGAGAGUUCUUAUCGAAGAUGGUAGUUGUGACCUCGAUGUUGAAUUAAAUUUUCCUUUUAAUGUAGGAGUUUUAGGGGAGGGCCUGUUCGGCCUAUAAAUAUUUACGUGAUCUGA